RNAcentral lists this ribosomal RNA (872 nucleotides) under Fujianacarus wisterianis. RNAcentral describes it as "partial large subunit ribosomal RNA". It matches the Rfam family "Eukaryotic large subunit ribosomal RNA", at positions 366 to 944 of the family's 3401-position model. Lineage: Eukaryota; Metazoa; Arthropoda; Arachnida; Trombidiformes; Eriophyidae. The record is from RNAcentral.
AAAUAGAACUUUGCAGAGAGAGUUAACAGGGCGUGAAACCGUUAAUUGAGAAACGAAUCGGAGCCACGAAGUCGUUUCGUUGUUUAGUUAAUCGGGGUUCAGGGUAGGCCGAGAGGUUUGCUUGUAUUCCCGCGACUAACCAUUGUAAGCGUACACUGCAACCAGUUAGACGAUUGGCCAUGGGCCCAGCCUGUCCGAGUUAGUAGUAGCGUUGUGCGCCUCGGUGCAUUUAUGUUGCUGGACUCGCGGCAAGUGAACUAUGGCCAAAUACUGACUGGCAAAAUGAAAAUCGUCCCUAUGGGCGUAAUACAAACUGCGACCAACCGGCUGGGCGUCUACACAGUGGACUGCCAGGUUUAAGCUUGGCAUUCUUGAAUUCAGACUUGCUUGCUACCAGUGGGGCAACUCCUGGUGCUUGUAUAGCUUCUGUCUAAUCGGGUGUCGACUUGGCCUGACAUCGUUCCGCUGUGAAGCGAUUGGGCGUCCAAACGAGCUGGCCCGCUAGAAUUGGCAGUGAGUAGGUCGGCUUUCCGAACGACCCGUCUUGAAACACGGACCAAGGAGUCUAAUUAGGUAUCGAGUCGAUCGGUCUUGAAUAGGCCAGACUGGGGGGUUCCCCCCGAAUGAAGGCGAAGAGACAAUCGUGUCAUCGCGCGCCAAUACCAGGCCACCCGCGCAACAUGUGCCUGUUCGUAUGGCAAUGUAGCAAUGAUUGCCGAGCGGAGCAAAGAGAUACCUGAUUGGUACCCGAAAGAUGGUGAUGCCUGGGCAAAUUGAAGCCAGAGGAAACUCUGGUGGAGGAUUGUAGCGAUUCUGACGUGCAAAUCGAUCGUCAGACCUGGGUAUAGGGGCGAAAGACUAAUCGAACCAUC